ACGGAGGGUGCAAGCAUUGAUCGGAAUUACUGGGCGUAAAGGGCGCGUAGGCGGCUGAGAAAGUCAGAUGUGAAAUUCCGGGGCUCAACCCCGGAGCUGCAUUUGAAACUUCUCAACUAGAGUACAGUUAGGGAAAACGGAAUUCCACGUGUAGCGGUGAAAUGCGUAGAUAUGUGGAAGAACACCGGUGGUGAAGACGGUUUUCUGGGCUGUAACUGACGCUGAGGCGCGAAAGCUAGGGGAGCAAACAGGA
This 253-nucleotide ribosomal RNA is filed under the name uncultured prokaryote. RNAcentral describes it as "partial 16S ribosomal RNA". It matches the Rfam family "Bacterial small subunit ribosomal RNA", at positions 525 to 777 of the family's 1533-position model. The record is from RNAcentral.